UACGGAGGGAGCUAGCGUUAUUCGGAAUUACUGGGCGUAAAGCGCGCGUAGGCGGCUUUGUAAGUAAGAGGUGAAAGCCCAGAGCUCAACUCUGGAAUUGCCUUUUAGACUGCAUCGCUUGAAUCAUGGAGAGGUCAGUGGAAUUCCGAGUGUAGAGGUGAAAUUCGUAGAUAUUCGGAAGAACACCAGUGGCGAAGGCGGCUGACUGGACAUGUAUUGACGCUGAGGUGCGAAAGCGUGGGGAGCAAACAGG
RNAcentral lists this ribosomal RNA (253 nucleotides) under uncultured bacterium. Its description in RNAcentral is "partial 16S ribosomal RNA". It matches the Rfam family "Bacterial small subunit ribosomal RNA", at positions 524 to 776 of the family's 1533-position model. The record is from RNAcentral.